Molecule: long non-coding RNA, 5935 nt
Organism: Cydia fagiglandana
Lineage: Eukaryota; Metazoa; Arthropoda; Insecta; Lepidoptera; Tortricidae
Exons: 2
Source: RefSeq, a predicted model, not a curated record
GGUUAUAACCGCGUAUGGUGACCGUUCUAAGCCCGUUAUUAAACGCGUUGCUAUAUUUCUUGCUUGCUCUUGCCAGUCUGAUAACUAUUCGCUAGCUCUUUCUGACGAGUCUUGCUCUCGCGAAUAAAACGCGGGUACUAAGGGGAUGAAACGCUGAUGCUAUGGGGAUUAUAGGCAGAUGCUACGGGGAUGAUGCGCGGUAUAAUGUGGACACUUUGUAGUGGGCAUAGUAGUCCGUAUCGCGUUACAUUUCGUGCCUGAUACGUUCACAGCACGGUCAUGGUAUGAUACGGUGUAGUGGGCAGAGACCUUAACUGUGUACCUACUAUUGACGGCCGCCGGUUAUCAAUCGUCACAAAACUGGCGGUCAGUGUCAAACGCCAUAUGUUUUGUCAGGAAAGUGACGGUCAGACGUGACAUAAACACGACUUAAGUCGCGAUUUAAAGUACAAGUUACAAUGAAAAUGACCAUUUCUGUCAAUAUCAAUAUUGGUUUUGUAUUUGAAUUGAUAUUCAGGUAAAUCUAUGAGUUUUUAACUACAUAAUAAGAAUAAAGAAUGUCUAAAGCUUAACCCCCUUAUUCAUAAAACUUUACGGGCCUGGUUUAGUUAACAUAUGUUUCAUCCCUUUCUUACAAAUUCAUAAGUCAAAAUGACAGAUAAGGACAAACGAUUAUUAGCUAAUUGAGGUUUGCAGUGCGUUUAUGAAUAAGGGGGUAAGAAUAUGGCUGUAUUUUAGAUAUACCAUCGUCCACAUUAUUAACUAACCAAUUUUCAACCUUAUACUAAACACAUAAGGUCCAUCAAUAGUCUGUCAGUACCUGGUUUCUGGGGCUCGAUCAGUUCUACAUGUCAAUGUCUCCUAAACAUAUUGUGAAUCCAUAUCGUAAGUUUACUUUGAACGUACAAAGUGUGCUCGCUUUAAUUUUGUACUGGUAGAAAUAUUACACUAUAAGCCGGUAUAAAAGCACUUGAAUAUGUAGCUGAAAAACAUAAAUAAAUCUUUUAAAAUUCACUUUUGUGUGGUAUAGUUAGGAUUUUUAACGUGUCCGAAUGUUACUUAAGAGCUAUUCUUAGUAUUCUUACGAUUCGGACACUUUAACCCUUGUGACGCCUCGCCUAUUAUAUACCGGGCGAAGUCGUAAAACUUAUUGGAAUGUAAGCUUAAUAUUAAACCAUACCCGUGCGCGUCUAUGGACGUUUUUAGCUAUCAAAGGGUUAAAAUUCUAACUAUACACAUAACAUAAUUUAUUUAAUACAGUUUGACCGCUACAUUUACAAGGUAUUCCUGAAAUACUCUGAUCGUUUGGCAGUUGAAAUUUGUUUUAUAAUGAUUUCUAUGAUUUUUGGUUUUGAAUUAAUAAAUGUUAUAUGUAACCGUCACGCGCGCCGCUAUCAAAGCCAUCUUAAUAAACUAUACCUAUAAAAAUACAGUAACAACGUAUAAACUGCCUACGACGAUGGAUCUCAUAUACCUAUUUGAAUAUUUUGCCAUUAUUUUUCAGAAAGGUUUCAAGAGUAAAAAAAGGUAACAAAAAAAAAAGAUUUUGUCUGUACCACUUAUUUGCACCUAACUUUCCACUUUAUCUGGAAAAUGUUAAAUGUAUCAUGUCAUAAGUAUAUAUUCAUUAUUCUGCUCAUCCUAAUAGUCCGCAUCCCCGCCUGAACUGCGGGCGCAAAAGACCUAAAAAAGAAAAUAUUAAUAGGACCCGAAGUUAAUUAAAAUAUAAGACCAAAAUAAAAAGAAGAUUUAAGGAUGAGUCCUUGUAAGUUUUUAGGGUUAGCAACGGUCGUGUAACUCCACUAGAGUUGCAAGCAACCAAGGCUGCUUUAAUCUCGUAAGAUACCACACAAAGUUACCUUAUUUUGAAUUUGAACCUUGUUCUAUAAGGACUAUAAGUAAUUUGUAAUGAGUUUCAUUUGUUUGAAAAAGCAAUGAAACUCAAGAAAUGCUACUUUAUUUUGUUCACGAAAGGUUCUAAUUAUAUUGCAAAGAAUAUACGAGGUUCAUCAUUAGUCCGGCAGCAUUUAGUUAUUUGCAGUAUUGUAAUGGCUUGUACAUUUGUCAUCAAAUAUAUGUUUACACUUUUACACCUUACUCCUUUGUAAUAAGACGAAAAAUGUAAACAUAUCUUUGACGUCGACUGUACCAUCGCCCACAUUAACUGUUCAUCGGUAAACCUUAUUACAAAAGGCAUAAGGUCCACCCAUGGGCAGUUAAGAGUGUUGGUGCUUGUAGGCGGCGCGCGCGGCGUGCAAUCGAUGGUGAUCCCAAUGUGAUGAGGAGCGGCGUCGCGGGACAACAUAUGUAUGUUAUAAAUUUAUCGCUGUGCCACUGUUUUUAACUUCGACUUGUUUCAAGUUGGGUAUUAGUCAAGUGCAAAUUAUUAUAUAAUAAUAUCUGUUUUUUUUUAUCAUAAAAAUGAUUUGAUUAAGUAUCAUAGUUUUAGGUAUUUUUAUUUGACCUAAAUAAUCUCACUUGCAUUUCUUGCUUAGUAAAUUUUGCACUUGAUAAGUAUUCGGCCAAGAGAUUAUAAUAUAUAAUAUCUUGAGACUCGUCUCCAAAUACCUAGUAUUUUAUUUAUUUGUUAAAAAAAAUAAAGUUAUGUAUAUUGAAUAUACCGCGGCGCCGCUCGCAAGGUGCUAACUAUAAGAUUUUGUACGUACCCGUUUGUAUGUCUGUAAGUAUUUAAGAAAGCUUCUGUGUUGUCUGCCCCGUUGUGCGUACUCGAUGUGUAUGUAUAGCAUUUGUUAGUUUUAAGAACGAAUUUACCAAACAGAAGAAGCUUAUGCUGAGUAUAUAAACUAUUUCUGGAAUACGUGUGCCUUCAAACUAGGUACUAGCAACGAAUGCCAGUCAAUGGUGUGGUAGCUGACGGUACUAGCACUUACAUCUAAAGAAAUCUUGUAAGUCCAACCCACACGAAUGCGAAAUAAAACCGACUUUGGUUGUUUGUGUGCGUUGCGUCUAUAAGUGACUUAACACAUUCAUUGCCACUAAGUGCUACGGGUUACGCUCGUAGCGUGUAUCCACGGUUUCGCCGUAUGGAGCGCGUAGUCGUUACGAACAGUGUACCCGACAGUCGGGUUCUCGGCCCUGAAUGUGUUAAGAUGUGAGGUUCUCUUUAGAAUGGUUUUAUCUAACUUUACUUGGAAUAAUCUAUUCCUGUUUGGUAGAUUUAACGUUUAAACGUAGAGCCGCGACGUUGUGUGAAGCAUCUUCUACCGUGGUAUUGAUAUGCCGUAUUUUUAUGUUUUAUUAUAAUAUUUAAUUUACUGACAAAGAUAAGCCAAGGAUGGACGAAAUUAUACGUUUACUGGUAAUACCUAUGUACUACUUCUCAAAACGGUUUCAACAUACUCUCCUGCUCGCAGUCCCUAAGAGAAAAAAAAAACGAUUUGCAUAACCGAAGUGAUCCCAUAAGAGCACCGUGAACUAAGUUUUAUACGGUGCUCUAAAAAGAUAUUAAAGUCAUCUCACGCAUCACGCAUCAUCGCGAGUUAAUUUUGAGGAGUGUUAACAGUCACAGUAUAGUUCUACUUACAUUAACAAACUUAUAUAGUAUAAGUAGUAGUAUAGUAUCUUGCAGAUUUAGCCAAUUUCCGUUUUAUAUUUGACGUGAUAUUAUCAUUAAGACGCGUUCACACGGCGGCGCGGCGUUUUAAGCUGGGAACACACUCACGGAGCGUAGUAUUUACCUUUAGUUUUGUUAACUAUUUGUGUCCAAACAAGUUUGAACCCUAUUGCUUAAGGAUUACAGUUCUAUGAAACGUGGCAGGUAUUUACUGGGUUCAAAAAGGUCACUUUUCCUACGACUUAGUAUUAGCCAAGUGUGAGCUCCGUGAGUUGUCGCAAUCGUAUUAGUAGUGCAAUUAACCGCUACGGCGGAACCUUGGUUUUUGUAUUCUUACCCAUCCAUUGUAAAUAAUCAAUUUGAUAAUAAAAGUGUAUUCCGUAUAACGCAUGUACAAGUCUGGUACCAAAUUAAAUAAUUAUAAAUUAAUGUUCACGGAAAUUUCACCUAGUGUGCUCCGACGUUCAAUUUCGUUUUGACGAAUCAGACGUCGGUACAGCGCAGACGAGCUCUUCGCUGAUUGGCGGAUUAGAAUCGGCGGUUGUACACUAGGUGGAAUUUAGUUUUAGUAGAUUCGUAGCAAAAUAUAUUGGUAUUUUGUAUUGAGCGAGUGUGAUGUGAUCCUUUUGCUCGCUUCAAGGGAACUUCCAACGAUUUUUACAAUGUACAGGAUUUUGUGAUAACUACGUUUUCGACCUUCAGCUAACUGCGACCGUCCUUGAUGUUUUCUUAACGCUUCUCAUAGUUGUAAACAUAGUACUCUAUCUGUCAAAUGUACCUACAACUGGGGAAUCAGAUAACGCGCAUAUAUAACGUAAAAUCUUAGUUAUUACGUUAGUUAUAGUGGCGUUUAUCUUAAGCUCCAUUAAAGGGUCUACAGCAUUUUAAAACACACUGAAAAUGCGGUAUAAACGCUUUAUACAGUGAAACCUGGUUAAGUGGGACCUGGAUAAGUGAGAAACCUCUAUAGCUGGGACUCAUGGUGCGGUCCCGACACUUUAGCACUGAAUUACCUCUGUUACUGAGAAAAAACGAACCUCUAUAACUGGGAUUCAUUGUUGUGAUUUUAUAGUCACAUUUACCUCUAUAAUUGAGACAGAGAGUGUAUUUUACCUCUUUUACUGAGCCUAUAUUUAUAAGAUUACAUUUUCCUAAUUGUUUUUUAGAAUUUUAUAGGGAAUUGACUUCUGUAUCUGAGAUAACGUCAAUCUAUGACCUCUCUAACUUGGACUUCAUUGAACAAUUUCCGUAUUCUUACUAACUCUUAGUUUAUCCACAAAUUCCGCAUUUGCCUAAUUUUGUCUAAACAACUUCAAGUUUGAUUUAGUUAAUUUAUGUAAGUAGUUAAAACUAUCGAAACGAAAACUGAAAUUUUGAGAAGUAACACGAAAAAAUAAAUUUCCAUUUAUUAAAUUUCUAAUACGCAAUGAAGUCCGUAUCAAAUUUAAUUUAAUUUUGAAAUAUUUGGAGAAUCAUUCAAAAUAAAUUCAAAGAAAUAUUUAAACAGACUUAAAAAAUAUUUAGGGACAAGGAUUAUUUUAACUUAUUUAUUUUUAAAGACAAUUACUAAAUACCUUAUUAACCACUUCUAUAACUGAAAUAUACUCUAUUCUCACCUCUAUUAAUGGAACCCUCUGUAAAUGAGACAGAAAUUUAUUUGUACCUGGCAAACUGGGAGCCUGUGUAAGUGGAAAAGACAAAUUUGCUCGUCCCUUGAGAUCUCACUUAUCCAGGUUUCACUGUAUUAUUAAAUGUGUAGUAAUUCCUGUAUUCGACACGUACAAAUGCUCCGAUAAGCAAAUACUUACAGUCGCCAUCAGAUAUAUCGGAGCGGCCAAGGUGUUCACAAUAUCUGAACACUAACGCCCUGUCAAUAGAGGCGUGCUCAGAUAUUUGUGAGCACCUUGGCCGCUCCGAUAUAUCUGAUGGUGACUGUACAUAGUAUGAUUUUGAUCGUGUCAAGUACAGGUCCUGAAUGUGUUGCGCUACACAUUUAAACAGACUUUGUAUUUUGACAUAAAGCGAUCACUGUUUUUCUUAGUUAUUCAAUAAUGACGUAUGUUUUAUAAUAACGACCGUUCGACAACUAUCAACUAGAGGAAUCAUGUUAAUUGUACUUUGAGCCUUGUGUGUGAAGCAUAGAGUUGAAUAUUAAUUGACAUGGUUGCGCGGUCGCGCGGUAAAGCCGUAAGUAAACGAGAACUGUGCCUUCCGGGCUUUGGGGCGGCGCCCCCCCUCCCGCACCCGUUUCCCUCCCUCGCCCCUCCCCGCCGCCCCGCGCCCGAGACAUAAUAAAUGCUCGUAAUGUAUUCUAUUGUAUUUAUAUCAUAGUUAAAAGUUUUAUUAAAAAAGUUGCUCAAU